GACGAACGCUGGCGGCGUGCUUAACACAUGCAAGUCGAACGGAAAGGCCCUGCUUUUGUGGGGUGCUCGAGUGGCGAACGGGUGAGUAACACGUGAGUAACCUGCCCUUGACUUUGGGAUAACUUCAGGAAACUGGGGCUAAUACCGGAUAGGAGCUCCUGCUGCAUGGUGGGGGUUGGAAAGUUUCGGCGGUUGGGGAUGGACUCGCGGCCUAUCAGCUUGUUGGUGGGGUUGUGGCUUACCAAGGCUUUGACGGGUAGCCGGCCUGAGAGGGUGACCGGCCACAUUGGGACUGAGAUACGGCCCAGACUCCUACGGGAGGCAGCAGUGGGGAAUAUUGCACAAUGGGCGGAAGCCUGAUGCAGCAACGCCGCGUGCGGGAUGACGGCCUUCGGGGUGUAAACCGCUUUCGCCUGUGACGAAGCGUGAGUGACGGUAAUGGGUAAAGAAGCACCGGCUAACUACGUG
Molecule: ribosomal RNA, 468 nt
Filed under: uncultured bacterium
Lineage: Bacteria
Description: partial 16S ribosomal RNA
Rfam family: Bacterial small subunit ribosomal RNA
Source: RNAcentral